CGGGCUGUAAGUUAUUUACUAAACUAUCAGACUUCAAAUCUGAAAAUACCUAAUAGGUCAGCUUGA
Molecule: transfer RNA, 66 nt
Filed under: Saccostrea mordax (small rock oyster)
Lineage: Eukaryota; Metazoa; Mollusca; Bivalvia; Ostreida; Ostreidae
Description: tRNA-Trp
Source: RNAcentral